AGCGUAGACGGAAUGGCAAGUCUGAUGUGAAAGCCCGGGGCUCAACCCCGGGACUGCUUUUGAAACUGUGGAACUGGAGUGCAGGAGAGGUAAGUGGAAUUCCUAGUGUAGCGGUGAAAUAGCGUAGAUAUUAGGAGGAACACCAGUGGCGAAGGCGGCUUACUGGACUGUAACUGACACUGAAGCACGAAAGCAUGGGUAGGCAAACA
This 209-nucleotide ribosomal RNA is filed under the name uncultured bacterium. RNAcentral describes it as "partial 16S ribosomal RNA". It matches the Rfam family "Bacterial small subunit ribosomal RNA", at positions 568 to 774 of the family's 1533-position model. The record is from RNAcentral.